Long non-coding RNA from Ceratitis capitata (Mediterranean fruit fly), 874 nucleotides. RefSeq lists it as uncharacterized. NCBI's taxonomy places the organism in Eukaryota, Metazoa, Arthropoda, Insecta, Diptera, Tephritidae. The transcript is spliced from 3 exons. The record is from RefSeq and is a predicted model, not a curated record.
GUUGUUCCACAAAUGUUCUUUUUGAGUAAAUAAACAUUCGAUUGCAAGUUAAAUUUUUAGGCAUUUUUCUCUUGGCAGAUCAGCGGCAAUGGGAAAUAUAAUAUAAAGCCCCAUCCCUUUUAAUAUUAUGCUUCCCAAUAUUUCACAGGCAGAAUGAAAUAGCCAAGGUAGCCGCUGUGUUUUACUUCGAAGAACUAUGUCAAUAUGGCCGCAUAUAUUGUGGACCUCUCUGUGAAUGCGCUUUAUGACGCGUAUAUAAAAAUAUACAUAGAUGCACUAAUGUUUUAGACUUUCCUUACCCGCUCUGGAUUUGGUAGUAAAACGGCCUCUUAUGCGAACUUGGUACUGAUAUAUCCACCCUUCCCAAAAAAGGUUAUAGUUAUAACUGCCAAAUUUCAUACCAAAAAGACGCAUUCAACGACACCCUGUACGAUCUUAAGUCUUGGCAAGCAACUAUCGGCCGGUGCGUGAGGCAUGCAAACAACUGGGCGAGAUGGGUGCGAAGCUACAAAAGCAGUAUACUGCUUGCUCAGACUUUAAAGCUUAAUUCGAAAUCCAGCACGAACAAUCGUUGAAUGAGCAACACUUUAUUGGCAACUCAAAAAAAAAAAAAAUCCAAACCAUAGCUUAAUCUUAUUGAUUGGAGUGUGAAUUACUCGUUUGAACGCGUUUGGACUUUAACUACUAAAUAAAUCAAAGUAAACAUUUUAAGAGUCCGCAUGCGAACAUUGGCUGAUGGUUGAUGGUCGGCGUCUAGUAUGUAAUCUCGCCUACCAUAGCUUAAAUUAGCGUUAAAAUACUUAAGGUAUUAAUCAAAAUUGUAUUUUCAAGCAAAAUUUGUAUAACAACAAGUAAAUUAUUGAAACAUUAAAAA